RNAcentral lists this ribosomal RNA (497 nucleotides) under uncultured bacterium. Its description in RNAcentral is "partial 16S ribosomal RNA". It matches the Rfam family "Bacterial small subunit ribosomal RNA", at positions 28 to 507 of the family's 1533-position model. The record is from RNAcentral.
GAUGAACGCUGGCGGCGUGCCUAAUACAUGCAAGUCGAGCGAACAGACGAGGAGCUUGCUCCUCUGACGUUAGCGGCGGACGGGUGAGUAACACGUGGAUAACCUACCUAUAAGACUGGGAUAACUUCGGGAAACCGGAGCUAAUACCGGAUAAUAUAUUGAACCGCAUGGUUCAAUAGUGAAAGACGGUUUUGCUGUCACUUAUAGAUGGAUCCGCGCCGCAUCAGCUAGUUGGUAAGGUAACGGCUUACCAAGGCAACGAUGCGUAGCCGACCUGAGAGGGUGAUCGGCCAAACUGGAACUGAGACACGGUCCAGACUCCUACGGGAGGCAGCAGUAGGGAAUCUUCCGCAAUGGGCGAAAGCCUGACGGAGCAACGCCGCGUGAGUGAUGAAGGUCUUCGGAUCGUAAAACUCUGUUAUUAGGGAAGAACAAAUGUGUAAGUAACUAUGCACGUCUUGACGGUACCUAAUCAGAAAGCCACGGCUAACUACGUG